This 756-nucleotide ribosomal RNA is filed under the name uncultured ciliate. RNAcentral's name for it is "SSU rRNA". It matches the Rfam family "Eukaryotic small subunit ribosomal RNA", at positions 318 to 1019 of the family's 1831-position model. The record is from RNAcentral. Lineage: Eukaryota; Ciliophora.
AUUCUGGAUGGUAGUGUAUUGGACAACCAUGGCAUUCACGGGCUAUCGGGGGAUUAGGGUUCGAUUCCGGAGAGGGAGCCUGAGAAACGGCUACCACUUCUACGGAAGGCAGCAGGCGCGAAAAUUAUCCAAUCCUGAUUCAGGGAGGUAGUGAAAGAAAUAAUGAACUAGGAUUUAUCCUGGGGUCACAAUGGGCUUGAUUUUGCAAACUUUAUUUAGCGAGGAACAAUUGGAGGGCAAGUCUGGUGCCAGCAGCCGCGGUAAUUCCAGCUCCAAUAGUGUAUAUUAAUGUUCCUGCAGUUAUUCGAUGCUCGUAGUUGGAUUUCUGGAGGCUGAGAUCGGAGGGUAGCCAAGGUUACCGCUGAACUCUUCCUUCAUCCACCUGUUAACGUUGUCCGGGAUUCGUUUCUCGGCUUCGGGCUCAGGCAUAUAUUUUUUUACCCUUUCUAUAUUUAUGUUUUGAGUAAAUUAUAGUGUUUCAGGCAGGCGUGCGCCGGAAUACUUUAGCAUGGAAUAAUCGAAUUGGACCGUGUAUUCUUAUAGAAUUCUUCCUUAUUUGUUGGUUUCAAGGACACGGAAAUGGUUAAUAGGGAUAGUGUUUUUUUUAUCAGGGGAGGCAUUAGUAUUUAAUUUCCAGAGGUGAAAUUCUUUGAAAUAUUAAAGACUAACUUAUGCGAAAGCAUUUAUUUUUUGCCAAUAAUGUUUUCAUUAAUCAUUGAACGAAAGUUAGGGGAUCAAAGACGAUCAGAUACCGUC